GAAAUGCGAUAAGUAGUGUGAAUUGCAGAAUUCAGUGAAUCAUCGAAUCUUUGAACGCACAUUGCUCCCUUUGGUAUUCCAAAGGGCAUGCCUGUUCGAGCGUCAUUUGUACCCUCAAGCUUUGCUUGGUGUUGGGCGUCUUGUCUCUAGCUUUGCUGGAGACUCGCCUUAAAGUAAUUGGCAGCCGGCCUACUGGUUUCGGAGCGCAGCACAAGUCGCACUCUCUAUCAGCAAAGGUCUAGCAUCCAUUAAGCCUUUUUUCAACUUUUGACCUCGGAUCAGGUAGGGAUACCCGCUGAACUUAAGC
Molecule: unclassified non-coding RNA, 307 nt
Filed under: plant metagenome
Description: partial contains 5.8S ribosomal RNA, internal transcribed spacer 2, and large subunit ribosomal RNA
Rfam family: 5.8S ribosomal RNA (bases 1-105)
Source: RNAcentral